RNAcentral lists this ribosomal RNA (515 nucleotides) under uncultured bacterium. RNAcentral describes it as "partial 16S ribosomal RNA". It matches the Rfam family "Bacterial small subunit ribosomal RNA", at positions 28 to 523 of the family's 1533-position model. The record is from RNAcentral.
GAUGAACGCUGGCGGCGUGCCUAAUACAUGCAAGUCGAGCGAAUGGAUUAAGAGCUUGCUCUUAUGAAGUUAGCGGCGGACGGGUGAGUAACACGUGGGUAACCUGCCCAUAAGACUGGGAUAACUCCGGGGAACCGGGGCUAAUACCGGAUAACAUUUUGAACCGCAUGGUUCGAAAUUGAAAGGCGGCUUCGGCUGUCACUUAUGGAUGGACCCGCGUCGCAUUAGCUAGUUGGUGAGGUAACGGCUCACCAAGGCAACGAUGCGUAGCCGACCGGAGAGGGUGAUCGGCCACACUGGGACUGAGACGCGGCCCAGACGCCUACGGGAGGCAGCAGUAGGGAAUCUUCCGCAAUGGACGAAAGUCUGACGGAGCAACGCCGCGUGAGUGAUGAAGGCUUUCGGGUCGUAAAACUCUGUUGUUAGGGAAGAACAAGUGCUAGUUGAAUAAGCUGGCACCUUGACGGUACCUAACCAGAAAGCCACGGCUAACUACGUGCCAGCCGCCGCGGUAA